UUGCCAGCCCGCUCAGAAACUUAAAGGAAUUGACGGGGCCCGCACAAGCGGAGGAGCAUGUGGUUUAAUUCGAUGAUACGCGAGGAACCUUACCUGGGCUCGAACGUAAGAUGACUGUAGGUGAAAGCUUACAUCUCUUCGGAGCAUUUUACGAGGUGCUGCAUGGUUGUCGUCAGCUCGUGCCGUGAGGUGUCGGGUUAAGUCCCAUAACGAGCGCAACCCCUACCUUUAGUUGCCAUCAGGUUAAGCUGGGGACUCCAAAGGAACUGCCUACGCAAGUAGUGAGGAAGGCGGGGAUGACGUCAAAUCAGCACGGCCCUUACGUCCAGGGCUACACACGUGCUACAAUGGCCGAUACAGAGGGCAGCUACCUGGUGACAGGAUGCAAAUCUCCAAAGUCGGUCUCAGUUCGGAUCGGAGUCUGCAACCCGACUCCGUGAAGUUGGAUUCGCUAGUAAUCGCGCAUCAGCCAUGGCGCGGUGAAUACGUUCCCGGGCCUU
This 500-nucleotide ribosomal RNA is filed under the name uncultured Sphingobacteriales bacterium. Its description in RNAcentral is "bacterial SSU rRNA". It matches the Rfam family "Bacterial small subunit ribosomal RNA", at positions 903 to 1382 of the family's 1533-position model. Lineage: Bacteria; Pseudomonadati; Bacteroidota; Sphingobacteriia; Sphingobacteriales. The record is from RNAcentral.